Canis lupus familiaris (dog) is the source of this 1221-nucleotide long non-coding RNA. RefSeq lists it as uncharacterized. Lineage: Eukaryota; Metazoa; Chordata; Mammalia; Carnivora; Canidae. The record is from RefSeq and is a predicted model, not a curated record. The transcript has 4 exons.
CCCCCCUCGACCCCCCCCUCGCGGGCGCCAGGCCAGCUCCCGCCGGGCGACUGUCAAUGAGCCACCCCCGUUUUGAGUAGAGGGAACCAGGGAGCCCUGCCCUCUGGGAGCCUCUGUGGACGCCAACUCAGACCAGACUCCCUGAAGACCCGCAGGAGCCUCGCAGGCAUGCCAACCAAGGAACCUAGGAAUCUGGAGGCCAGGAAGUUAGCAAGGAGGAGGAUGCCACUCAAACACACUCGUUCCUCCAGGGCCCGGGCAAGGGGCCAGGGCCAAGGGGAUCUGCUGCUUCCUGUGAAAAACUAGCUGGCCUGGUCGGUGCCUGGGACCCCGUGUUCGAGAUCACUGCUGCAAAGAAAGAAAAGAAAAGGAAGGCAGUCCCACUCCCCCAGGGCUGGUGGGCUCUGUGAAUCCAGCCUCAGCCUUCGUUCAGGACAGCCCAGAAUGGCUUUUCUAGCCCCACCCCCACCCCCCACCUGUCCAACCUUUUUUGCUCACAGGUCACAGUCAAGCUUAUUAAACUUGGAUGACAGUAAACCAAUGACUAACUGGAUAAUUAAAGCCACAAGUCAGGAGGACUGGGUGGAUCCCUUCUCUAAAAUCUCCAGUGUCAUGUUCCGCAGGCAAACACCACUUACCCAUUGCUUCAUGCCCCCACCCCACCGUCCCUGUCCGGCCCCAAGGAAGGAGGAAAUCUAACCACACUCCCCCACACUGUUGAGUGAACGGGAACAUGACCAAAGAUUUCCAACUAAAACCAAAGUUACUCAGCAGAGCUUCCUGCUGGGUGGCUGGCGGUGACGUACUGGGGGACAGAAGGUACCUCUUUGGGCUCUUUCUCUUCUACGCAACUUCUCUGCUUCAGUCACUUGCAAGCCUCCCCACUUCCCUAGGAGAGGGGAGGAGAACUUCACAGCAGACAAGCCCCCACUGAGAGGACCCUGGGUUUGCUUCAAAGACAGGCCUUCUCCAAAUCUGCAGUUCCAAGCAAUUGCCUCUCCCCCACUACUGAAACGUGAAGCCCUGCUGAAGUUCAGUGUUCCCCAAAGCAUUUCUGUGCUUCCCCCUCUAACCUAGGGCCCUCCAGACCUCCACAGUAAUACCUCUGCCUGACAGGGACUUAGCUUCUCUAGUGCCUCUGCCCUUCCUCCCACCCGCAGCUCGGACUGUCCCUGCUCCCUCCUGCCUCCCCACCACUGUAUCCGGGCCCCCCCCCCCCCC